CCUACGGGUGGCAGCAGUAGGGAAUCUUGCACAAUGGGGGAAACCCUGAUGCAGCAACGCCGCGUGAGUGAUGAAGGGUUUCGGAUCGUAAAGCUCUUUUAUUAGAGAAGAAAAUGACGGUAACUAACUAAUAAGCACCGGCUAACUUCGUGCCAGCAGCUGCGGUAAUACGUAGGGGGCAAGCGUUAUUCGGAAGGACUGGGCGUAAAGAGAGCGGAGACGGUCAAGCAAGUCAGAUGUGAAAUCCUAUGGCUUAACCGUAGAAUUGCAUUUGAAACUGGGCUGCUAGAGUACGGGAGAGGAGAGUGGAAUUCCUGGUGUAGCGGUGAAAUGCGUAGAGAUAAGGAGGAACACUAGUGGCGAAGGCGGCUGGCUGGACUGUAACUGACGCUGAGGCGCGAAAGCGUGGGGAGCAAACAGGAUUAGAUACCCCAGUAGUC
This 440-nucleotide ribosomal RNA is filed under the name uncultured bacterium. Its description in RNAcentral is "partial 16S ribosomal RNA". It matches the Rfam family "Bacterial small subunit ribosomal RNA", at positions 338 to 795 of the family's 1533-position model. The record is from RNAcentral.